RNAcentral lists this ribosomal RNA (467 nucleotides) under uncultured bacterium. RNAcentral describes it as "partial 16S ribosomal RNA". It matches the Rfam family "Bacterial small subunit ribosomal RNA", at positions 28 to 506 of the family's 1533-position model. The record is from RNAcentral.
GACGAACGCUGGCGGCGUGCUUAACACAUGCAAGUCGAACGGAAAGGCCCUGCUUUUGUGGGGUGCUCGAGUGGCGAACGGGUGAGUAACACGUGAGUAACCUGCCCUUGACUUUGGGAUAACUUCAGGAAACUGGGGCUAAUACCGGAUAGGAGCUCCUGCUGCAUGGUGGGGGUUGGAAAGUUUCGGCGGUUGGGGAUGGACUCGCGGCUUAUCAGCUUGUUGGUGGGGUAGUGGCUUACCAAGGCUUUGACGGGUAGCCGGCCUGAGAGGGUGACCGGCCACAUUGGGACUGAGAUACGGCCCAGACUCCUACGGGAGGCAGCAGUGGGGAAUAUUGCACAAUGGGCGGAAGCCUGAUGCAGCAACGCCGCGUGCGGGAUGACGGCCUUCGGGUGGUAAACCGCUUUCGCCUGUGACGAAGCGUGAGUGACGGUAAUGGGGAAAGAAGCACCGGCGAACUACGU